RNAcentral lists this ribosomal RNA (120 nucleotides) under uncultured bacterium. RNAcentral describes it as "partial 16S ribosomal RNA". It matches the Rfam family "Bacterial small subunit ribosomal RNA", at positions 29 to 151 of the family's 1533-position model. The record is from RNAcentral.
AACGAACGUUAGCGGCGCGCUUAACACAUGCAAGUCGUGCGAGAAAGGGGAAACCCCGGUAAAGCGGCGCACGGGUGAGUAACACGUAGGUAAUCUACCCCCAGGUGGUGGAUAACCUUC